Molecule: ribosomal RNA, 680 nt
Filed under: uncultured Nitrososphaerota archaeon
Lineage: Archaea; Thermoproteati; Nitrososphaerota
Description: bacterial SSU rRNA
Rfam family: Archaeal small subunit ribosomal RNA
Source: RNAcentral
AAUACGUGGCAUACGGCUCAGUAACACGUAGUCAACAUGCCCAGGGGACGUGGAUAACCUCGGGAAACUGAGGAUAAACCGCGAUAGGUCAUAAUAUCUGGAAUGAUUUCUGGCUGAAAUCUAUAUGGCCCCUGGAUUGGACUGCGGCCGAUCAGGCUGUUGGUGAGGUAAUGGCCCACCAAACCUAAAACCGGUACGGGCUCUGAGAGGAGAAGCCCGGAGAUGGGCACUGAGACAAGGGCCCAGGCCCUAUGGGGCGCAGCAGGCGCGAAAACUCUGCAAUAAGCGAAAGCUUGACAGGGUUAUUCUGAGUGAUUUCCGCUAAGGAAAUCUUUUGGCACCUCUAAAAAUGGUGCAGAAUAAGGGGUGGGCAAGCCUGGUGUCAGCCGCCGCGGUAAUACCAGCACCCCGAGUGGUCGGGACGAUUAUUGGGCCUAAAGCAUCCGUAGCCGGUUCUACAAGUCUUCCGUUAAAUCCACCUGCUUAACAGAUGGGCUGCGGAGGAUACUAUGGAGCUAGGAGGCGGGAGAGGCAAGCGGUACUUAGUGGGUAGGGGUAAAAUCCGUUGAUCCAUUGAAGACCACCAGUGGCGAAGGCGGCUUGCCAGAACGCACUCGACGGUGAGGGAUGAAAGCUGGGGGAGCAAACCGGAUUAGAUACCCGGGUAGUCCCAGCUGUAA